Molecule: ribosomal RNA, 253 nt
Filed under: uncultured bacterium
Lineage: Bacteria
Description: partial 16S ribosomal RNA
Rfam family: Bacterial small subunit ribosomal RNA
Source: RNAcentral
UACAGAGGUGGCAAGCGUUGUUCGGAAUUACUGGGCGUAAAGGGCGCGUAGGCGGUUGCCUAAGUCGGACGUGAAAUCCCCAAGCUUAACUUGGGAACUGCAUCUGAUACUGGGUGACUUGAGUUCGGGAGAGGAAUGUGGAAUUCCAGGUGUAGCGGUGAAAUGCGUAGAUAUCUGGAGGAACACCGGUGGCGAAGGCGGCAUCCUGGACCGGUAUUGACGCUGAGGCGCGAAAGCCAGGGGAGCAAACGGG